AGAGUUUGAUCCUGGCUCAGGAUGAACGCUGGCGGCGUGCUUAACACAUGCAAGUCGAACGAAGCGGUAGAAGGAAGUUUUCGGAUGGAAUUCUGACUGACUGAGUGGCGGACGGGUGAGUAACGCGUGGGUAACCUGCCUCAUACAGGGGGAUAACAGUUAGAAAUGACUGCUAAUACCGCAUAAGCGCACAGGAUUGCAUGAUCCAGUGUGAAAAACUCCGGUGGUAUGAGAUGGACCCGCGUCUGAUUAGCUGGUUGGCGGGGUAACGGCCCACCAAGGCGACGAUCAGUAGCCGACCUGAGAGGGUGACCGGCCACAUUGGGACUGAGACACGGCCCAAACUCCUACGGGAGGCAGCAGUGGGGAAUAUUGCACAAUGGGGGAAACCCUGAUGCAGCAACGCCGCGUGAGUGAAGAAGUAUUUCGGUAUGUAAAGCUCUAUCAGCAGGGAAGAAAAUGACGGUACCUGAAGAAGCCCCGACUANCUACGUGCCAGCAGCCGCGGU
RNAcentral lists this ribosomal RNA (509 nucleotides) under uncultured Gram-positive bacterium. Its description in RNAcentral is "bacterial SSU rRNA". It matches the Rfam family "Bacterial small subunit ribosomal RNA", at positions 8 to 521 of the family's 1533-position model. The record is from RNAcentral.